Molecule: ribosomal RNA, 2046 nt
Filed under: unidentified
Description: bacterial LSU rRNA
Rfam family: Bacterial large subunit ribosomal RNA
Source: RNAcentral
CCUUCCGUAUUGCGGGACCAGGCGCGAGCCUGGUUCCUCAAUACGGUUGGUCACAUGAAGGUAUCAAAUCCUGAAUCCAUAGGGGUUUGAAGCGAACCCGGGGAACUGAAACAUCUCAGUACCCGGAGGAAAGGACAUCAACGAGACUCCGUCAGUAGUGGCGAGCGAACGCGGAUCAGGCCAGUGCCUGUGUUGAGUUUACCGGAACGGUCUGGAAAGGCCGGCGCGAUGGGUGACAGCCCCGUACGGGACGGACGACACACAGGACUCGAGUAGGGCGGGACACGUGAAAUCCUGUCUGAACAUGGGGGGACCACCCUCCAAGCCUAAGUACUCCUCAGCGACCGAUAGCGAACCAGUACCGUGAGGGAAAGGUGAAAAGCACCCCGACGAGGGGAGUGAAACAGCACCUGAAACCGGAUGCUUACAAACAGUGGGAGCCCAAGGUUCGUCCUGGGUGACCGCGUACCUUUUGUAUAAUGGGUCAGCGACUUAAAGUUACGAGCGAGCUUAAGCCGAUAGGUGGAGGCGCAGCGAAAGCGAGUCUGAACAGGGCGUUCAGUUCGUGGCUUUAGACCCGAAACCGAGUGAUCUAGCCAUGUGCAGGAUGAAGGUGGGGUAACACCCACUGGAGGUCCGAACCAGUGCCCGUUGAAAAGGUCUUGGAUGACGUGUGGCUAGGGGUGAAAGGCCAAUCAAACUCGGAAAUAGCUGGUUGUCCCCGAAAGCUAUUUAGGUAGCGCCUCGAGUGAAUACCUCACGGGGUAGAGCACUGGAUGGGCUAGGGCCGCCCACAGCGGUACCAAACCCAACCAAACUCCGAAUACGUGAGAGUACUGCUCGGGAGACACACGGCGGGUGCUAACGUCCGUCGUGGAGAGGGAAACAACCCUGACCGACAGCUAAGGCCCCCAAUUCGUGGCUAAGUGGGAAAGGAUGUGGGACUCCCAAAACAACCAGGAGGUUGGCUUAGAAGCAGCCAUCCUUUAAAGAAAGCGUAACAGCUCACUGGUCUAAAUAAGGGGUCCUGCGCCGAAAAUGUAACGGGGCUCAAGCCACGAGCCGAAGCUUCGGAUGCACUCCUUCGGGGGUGCGUGGUAGCGGAGCGUUCCCUAGGCCUGUGAAGCGGUACCUGUGAGGGGCCGUGGAGGUAUGGGAAGUGCGAAUGCUGACAUGAGUAACGACAAAGAGUGUGAAAGACACUCUCGCCGAAAGUCCAAGGGUUCCUGCGUAAAGUUAAUCUGCGCAGGGUUAGCCGGCCCCUAAGGCGAGGCCGAAAGGCGUAGUCGAUGGGAACGGGGCGAACAUUCCCCGGCCAGCGGAUGGUGACGGAUGCCGUGUAUCGUUUGACCUUAUCGGAUUGGUCAGGCGGUGAAGGGGUCCCAGGAAAUAGCCUCCGCGUAAGACCGUACCCGAAACCGACACAGGUGGACUGGUAGAGUAUACCAAGGCGCUUGAGAGAACGAUGCUGAAGGAACUCGGCAAUUUGCCUCCGUAACUUCGGGAUAAGGAGGCCUCUGUCUUGGGCAACCAGGGCAGAGGGGCACAGACCAGGGGGUGGCGACUGUUUAUCUAAAACACAGGGCUCUGCGAAGUCUGUAAGACGACGUAUAGGGCCUGACGCCUGCCCGGUGCCGGAAGGUUAAGAGGAGAGGUGAGAGCUUUGAAUCGAAGCCCCGGUAAACGGCGGCCGUAACUAUAACGGUCCUAAGGUAGCGAAAUUCCUUGUCGGGUAAGUUCCGACCUGCACGAAUGGCGUAACGAUCUCCCCGCUGUCUCCAGCAUCGGCUCAGUGAAAUUGAAUUCCCCGUGAAGAUGCGGGGUUCCUGCGGUCAGACGGAAAGACCCCGUGCACCUUUACUGUAGCUUUGCGCUGGCCUUCGUGUCGGCAUGUGUAGGAUAGGUGGUAGGCUUUGAAGCGGGGGCGUCAGCCUUCGUGGAGCCAUCCUUGAAAUACCACCCUUGGCGAUAUGGUGGUCUAACCGCGACCCUUGAUCGGGGUCCGGGACCGCGCAUGGCAGGCAGUUUGACUGGGCGUCGCCUCCC